RNAcentral lists this non-coding RNA (31 nucleotides) under Mus musculus (house mouse). The record is from RNAcentral. Lineage: Eukaryota; Metazoa; Chordata; Mammalia; Rodentia; Muridae.
UAAUUCUUGUUACUUGGAUAACAGUCUUUUC